GGUGUAGUGGUUAAGAGCGGUAGUCUCGUAAUAUGGUGAACCGGGUUCGCUUCCCCGCUCCUCCACAUGCAGCUGCUGGGCUAGUCACCUUGGGCUAGUCACACUUCUCUGAAGUCUCUCAGCCCCACUCACCUCACAGAGUGUUUGUUGUGGGGGAGGAAGGGAAAGGAGAAUGUUAGCCGCUUUGAGACUUCUUAAAGGAAGUGAAAGGAGGGAUAUCAAAUCCAAACUCUUCUUCUCUUCUUCUUCUUCUUCUUCUUCUUCUUCUUCUUCUUCUUCUUCUUCUUCUUCUCCUUCUCCAGGAAGUCACUGUAGGGACCUUCAGAUGAUACCACCCAUGUAUACAAUCCCACCACACCAACCUGCUUUGUCCUGCAACCCCUCUUACAAAUUCUUUAAAUGCAGAGGCAUCUCAUCUUUCUGUGGUGGCUUGUGGUGGGAAUAUUGGAGUGACAACUUGGGCCUUGGAUACCUUACUGAACCUCGAUGUGAAGAACCUGUGGACCUUCAGACAUCAAUGUAGUCCAUCAUAAGCAAUGGUCAGGGAAGAUGAGGGUUUUCCUUGUAACUUCUGGAAGCAUAGGUGCCAUCCAUGAGGGGUUGUGAGGGCCCAGGCACUCACAAAUUUUCAAUGAAGGAGACACGCACCCCAGUUCUAUGUGGCAGCACAUGCACACCAUGGGGCAUGCUCGUAUCAUGUGCACUCGCCACGGGGCGUCCACACAACACAUUGGCACACCCCUGUGACGGGCGUGAGUGAUGUCAACAUGUCACAGGGAGUGCCAACAUCUCACAUACACAUUCCACAGUGAUGUUCUCAUGCCCCGGGCCCCCUCUGUUGCAGGGGCAAGGCAGCGCACCUGUCUGGAAGGUCCCAGGUUCUCCACCUUGCCUUAACUGUUCUCUUACAAUCUGGUGAAGCAGCAGUUACUGCUCAAUAGAUCAUGACUUAAUCCUCGAGAAGUCUCUCCAGACCUUGCUUAAGUCCUUCAUGUGGAACACAGAGGAGAGGACAACAAGCAGGAAGAGGAAGGUGUUUAUGGUCCCAUGAUGACGAUCACAUUACUGGAAAUCAUUAUAUCAGUUCACGCUUCAUCGGAGUCUCCUUUAUCGGACCAUCAUGCCUUUUCUCAAGUGACUAUUAAAAUUUUUAUAGUAACUCUUAAGCAGAAAAUGAUUUUUAUUUUAUUUUUUGGUAGUCAUUCUGAACCUUUUCUUUAAAAGUACUGAAAAUACAACUCUUAAAUAUACAAAGAGCCCAUGAAUGUGUUUUAUGGUGCAGCUAUAUUUAGUUUACCUGUUCAUUUUAUCAAAUGCAUGGAUUCAAGUAGCUUGAUGCAUGAUUUCUCAACUUCAGCCGGAUGAGUCCCAAAUGACUCGGCAUCCAGAGGUUGUCCAGCAACUCAAUUCAAAAGUUAUAUUUUAAUUAUUAUUUUUUAUUAAAUUUGUGUACCGCCCUAUACCCACGGAUUUCCCUGUAUUGGGAAGUUGUUGUUCUGUAGCCCAGAGUGGCUACAGAAACCCAGCCAGAUGGGUGGGAUACUACUACUACUACUGCUGCUGCUGCUAUUUCAGGACCCUCAUACCUACGGGACCACCUCUCCCGGUAUGCCCAUGGAGGAAACUGCAAGUAAUCCAGAAUGCGGCAGCCAGACUGGUGACUGGGAGUGGCUGCCGAGAACAAAUAACACCAGUCCUGAAAAACCUAGUACGUUUCCUAGCACAAUUCAAAGUGUUGGUGCUGACCUUUAAAGCCCUAAAAGGCCUUAGCCCAGUAUACCUGAAGGAGCGUCUCCACCCCCAUCGUUUAGCCUGGACACUGAGGUCCAGCUCUGAGGGCCUUCUGGCAGUUUCCUCAUUGUGAGAAGUGAGGUUACAGGGAACAAGGCAGAGGGCCUUCUCAGUAGUGGCACCUGCCCUAUGGAACACUCUCCCAUCAGAUGUCAAGGAAAUAAACAACUAUCUGACUUUUUAUAAGAUAUCUGAAGGCAACCCUGUAUAGGGAAGUUUUUAAUGUCUGAUAUUUUAUCAUGUUUUUAAUAUUCUGUUGGGAGUUGCCCAGAGUGGCUGGGGGAAACCCAAUCAGAUGGGUGGGGUAUAAAUAAUAGAUGAUGAUGAUGAUGAUGAUGAUGAUGACAAACCAUUGGCCCACCUAGUUCUGUAUCUUCUACACUGACUGGCAGUGACUCUCCAGGCUUUCAUGCAAAGCAGAUUUUCCAUCACAGAACUAUGUCCCCCUCCAAAUUGCUGUGCUUAAGAACUGAACAGAUUUUAUUUUAAAAGUCUCAUUUUCAGCACUUCUGUUGGAAGUUCUUAUUUUACUGCAUCCCGGUUAAUUACUUCAGGCUACCUAAAUAAUAUAAUACCAACUUGUCACUGCGAUUUUCACACGUUUGUGGCUGUUAUUCCAUGUCUUGGAGGUGGGGGGAAAAAGAAAUUCAUUUCCUCCUUGGUAUCCUCCUGUAAAGUCUAGGCCGGGGCUUGGUCUUUUGAUUUCAAAUAAAAUGAAAAUGGCAAUUUAGGAAGAGAGGAAGCUGAGGGAUUUUAGAAUAUGCCGUGUAACCGUGAGGUGAGGUGGGGAAGCAUAGGACAGAUCCACACAAUGCAUUUAAAGCAUAGUCAACACAUAUUUAAAACACACGACUUACCCCAAAUAAUCAUGGUAACUCCAUUUCCCCCUUCUGGUUUCCAGCAACAAACUACACUUUCCAGGACACUUUGGGGGAAGUCAUGUGGUUUCAAUAUGUGCUUUAGUGUGCAUUUGACAAUAGCAGCUGACACAGAGAUAUGUCCAGGUAAUCUGAUAAUUGAACAUAUAUCCCUGAUUCGUUUGCAGGGAUAUUAGACAACAUUUGGCUAUUUAUUGACAAUUCAUUAUGGUUUGUGUGCUGGGAGGUUAGAUGACACUGGGUCCAAGCAAGUGUUAUCCUGCUUGGACUACUGCAAUGCGCAUGUGGAGCUACCUUUGAAGGUGAUCUGGAAACUACAACUGAUCCAGAAUGUGGCAGCUAGACUGGUAAAUAGGAAUGGCCGCCGAGACCAUGUAACACCUGUCCUGAAAGACCUACAUUGGCUCCCAGUAUGUUUCUGAGCACAAUUCGAAGUGUCGGUGCUGACCUUUAAAGUCCCAAACGGCCUUGGUCCAGUAUACCUGAAGGAGCGUCUCCACCCCCAUUGUUCAGCCUGAGGUCCAGCUCCGAGGGCCUUCUGGUGGUUACCUCCUUGCGAGGAGUGAAGCUACAGGGAACCAGGAAGAGGGCCUUCUUGGUGGCAGUGUUGAGGAUUCAUUCCCUGUGUCUGCAGUCAUGGGAUUUUUGUCUAUCACAUGACGGUGUAUGUUUUGACUCCACAGAGUGGGAAGUGACGGAGACAGGAUGUUUGUGUUACUGUGUUCCGUGACUAUUGUCCUUUGUUCAUUCUCUUUGCUGUCUGAUGCUAGAGAGAGGGGGAGCCAUGUUGCAGUGCUCCGUGUGUGUUUAUAUGUAAAUAAAGGUAGACUAGCCAAAAUGCUGAGUUGCUGAGGUCUGUUACACAAGCUGCAAAGACUCUGCAGAUCCCUAAGUUUGCCGAUGUCUGUUGGCAUCGGUCACUGUGAUGUUCAGGCAGAAGAAAGCUUUUGAAGCUCCUGAACGAUCAAAGCAGGAGGGAGGGAACAUGCCAGUCGGGCACGUGUCUCUGCCAGGGUCCUACUUGAGAGUAGGACAAGCUCCUGACAAGUGGUGCCCGCCCUGUGGAACAUCCUCCCAUCAGAUGUCAAGGAAAUAAACAACUAGCUGACAUUCUUUAUCACAUGAAGUCUUAUCUUAUCUUAUGAAGUGGGUUUGUUGUGUAAGGCCUUCCAACUCAUGAUAGCUGUGCCACCUGAAUUUGCCCUUAUGUGAUUGAAUCCCACUUGAAGCUAGUGACAGUUUAGAAGCACUCAAAGGCUGAGGGCUUCACCAGCAAUUGACAUUUUUGUCAGAGAUAGUUGAGUGCUUCCCUGCUUCAGAAGAAAUACUACUGGCUCUCUGAGAGAGGAUCUUUUUGGUGGUGACACCCAAUUCCACCAACUCCCGAAGACAACUGGUUUAAGCAAGCAUUCCCCUGAAGUGAACUUGUGGUUUUGUUUAAAAAAUUCUUUCGUUGGGUUGUUUUUAAAAUGUUUUAUUGUAUAUUUUAAUUAAAUACAUUUAAAUGUUAUUGUGUGGAUUCUUUUAAAAAAAAUGGAUUGAUUUUAUACUUGUAAACCGCUUAACAGCCAUUUUUGCAUACAAAUUGAAUUGCAGUGCAUUACAUUGGCCACAGUCUGUCUCAAGAGACAAUGGAGUGCACCUCCAGAGGUGAAGUCAAACCGCUGUUUUAUCAACACCAGAGUGACCUCCCCAGGACUCAGGCCUGGGCAGUGUGUCUGGAGGUCCUGGGCUACCCAAACGACAAGACCCUCUCCUCUCGGCCUCACUGAUGUGGCCCAAAGGAAAGCAGAGCAAUAUGUUUGGCGCCAGCUUGGUGGCAGGAGUUUAAAUGGCAUCUAAAUUAAAUAAUAAUAGAACACUGUCAUCAGACCUGCUUUGCUGGUGUGUGAAGUUAAAAGGGUGCAGUCGUCCCACUGUAAUCUUACUGAACAAACUACAGCAGAGAAAUGCUAGCUGCACCAGAAUUUAGUAAAAUGUCAAAAGAGCAGACAAAAAGCUUGCAGAUUUAAAAGCCUAUUGAAACCAGGAGGAAAGGUCUUUAAAAGAAGCCUAAAAACUAACCCUGAAGGACCUUUUAAUAUUUUUUAGCUUCAGUAAUAGGGUUAAGAUAUUUCAAAAAGGGGAAAUCUGGACACAAAACUUGUUGAGUUUUUGCUUUUGCUUUUUUGACCAACAUGGUGGAGCUUUUGCAAAAACGUGAUGAUGAUGAUGAUGAUGAUGAUGAUGAUAAUGAUAAUUGUGAAUUACAGGAAAGAAGAAUGCUGGUGCUCUCGGGUUCUCCUUGAGGCUUUCCUGCAGGAACCUGUCUGGCCACUGUGAGAACAGGAUGCUGUAAAAACAGGGCCUUCUCAGUGGAUGCUCCUAGGCUUUAGACUGCCUCCCUCCUUCCUCUCUUUCCGUUGGCAGGCUUCUGGGAAUGGACUGCUUUUAAUGAAAGGGCUGGUGCCUUGCUGUUUUGUUGUAAUUGUUUGUAUGGCUUCAGCAGAUUUUAUUUUUAAUUCUGUCAAUGUUUGAUUGUUUUUAAUGAUUGUUUUUCUUAGUUUUUAUUUUUAUCUGUAAAUUUGCUUGAAUCCCUGCCAAGGAAAAAGACAGGGUAUGAAUAAACAAAUGUAUAAUAAUAAUAAAUAAUAAUAAUAAUAAUAAUAGAUUAGAUGUACCUUUUGGGAUGAUCUAGUGGGGUUCUGCUUAUAUUCUUAAGAGAUGCAGUCAGUUUUUUGGGCACAGUGGCAUCGACUUUCACCUGGGAUGAGCAUGCGUAUGUGUGUGGGAGAGAGAACUGCAACUCAUCACUCCUGGCAGGUAAUUCCAAUGGCCUAGGUGGUGCUGUGGGUUAAACAACAGAGCCUAGGACUUGUCGAUCAGAAGGUCAGCGGCUCGAUUCCCUGCGACGGGGUGAGCUCCCGUUGCUCGGUCCCUGCUCCUGCCAACCUAGCAGUUCGAAAGCACGUCAAAGUGCAAGUAGAUAAAUAGGUACCGCUCCGGCGGGAAGCUAAACGGCGUUUCCGUGCGCUGCUCUGAUUUGCCGGAAGCUGUACGCCGGCUCCCUCGGCCAAUAAAGCGAGAUGAGCGCCACAACCCCAGAGUCGGUCACGACUGGACCUAACGGUCAGGGGUCCCUUUACCUUUUAGGAGUUCUUGUUAACUCCCCACAAUCUCCAGUUCUCAUUCUUUCCAGCUCUUGUUCUGCAACAAGCAUAGAUGGGGGCUGCCAUUGCUCCCGGGUUCUGUGAAGGAGCUUGUUGUGGAAUUCUCUGGGCAACAGCCAAAUGGGUCUUUAGCAAUGGCCUCCUGAUAAUCUGUGGUGGUGCAGUUUGGAACAACAGAGCGUCCUCCUUUGCUCUGCAUUUCUUACUUUUCAUCCUCCUUCACUGCAGACUUUUUUAUCCAAGCGCUGUUGAUCACAGUGGGGUUGGGGGGGCACCCAAAGCAUCAUCAUCUUUGCAUCCUCCAUCUCCGUCAUUAUUCACCACAUUUUGAUGCCCAUAAAACACAUUAAAAACUAUUUCCUUGAGCAAGGGAGAGGGAGAGAGAAGCAUCUCUCCGCUGUACAUAUCAUUUGUAUACUUGAAUUGUAAAAUGUAAAUUGAUAUAUAAGAAAAUGCCCCAUUAACUUUUUCAUUAAUGACAAUAAUACAUUUCGUGUCGCAACUGGAGGAGGGUCUUGCAUCCAGUUGAGAGAACCUGAAGGAUGAGUGGCAAGUGUGCCGGAACGUCGUAAAACUGAUGAUCAGUCAAUGUACUUGGAGAGAUUAAAGGAAGAAGGUGAUAUCACUUCUCUGACUUAUGUUCCUUAGAACAAGGCAUUGUGUGUAUGCUUUUGAGAGCCGGUGUGGUGUAGUGGUUAAGAGCGGUGGACUCGUAAUCUGGUGAACAGGGUUCGCUUUCCCGCUCCUCCACAUGCAGCUGCUGGGUGACCUUGGGCUAGUCACAUUUCUUUGAGGUCUCUCAGCCUCACUCACCUCACUCUUGUACUUAGUUGCUAAAAUAGGGUUCUGUGGUGGUCAUAAAGGAGUCAUAAAUUACUGAGGAAGUAUCUGAUACAGUGGUGCCUCGCAAGACGAAAUUAAUCCGUUCCGCGAGUCUCUUCGUCUUGCGGUUUUUUCGUCUUGCGAAGCACGGCUAUUAGCGGCUUAGCGGCUAUUAGCGGCUAUUAGCGGCUUAGCGGCUUAGCGGCUUAGCGGCUUUAAGAAAAAGGAAACAAACUCGCAAGAACUCGCAAGACGUUUCGUCUUGCGAAGCAAGCCCAUAGGGAAAUUCGUCUUGCGGAAUGACUCAAAAAACAGAAAACUCUUUCGUCUAGCGAGUUUUUCAUCUUGCGAGGCAUUCGUCUUGCGGGGCACCACUGUAUGUUUGAAGGGUAGUAGUUAUGAAAAGGUCCGGCUAAAAACUUGUGACAUUUCUCGGCCAAAGGUCAGCCAGCAUGGUAUAGUGGUUAGGAGCAGUGGACUCAUAAUCUGGUGAACCAGGUUCGCUUCCCCGCUCCUCCACAUGCAGCUGCUGGGUGACCUUGGGCCAGUCACACUUCUCUGAAGUCUCUCAGCCUCACUCACCUCACAGAGUGUUUGUUGUGGGGGAGGAAGGGAAAGGAGAUUGUUAGCCGCUUUGAGACUCCUUAAGAGGAGUGAAAGAUGGGA
Podarcis lilfordi (Lilford's wall lizard) is the source of this 7306-nucleotide non-coding RNA. The record is from the annotation of a GenBank genome assembly. NCBI's taxonomy places the organism in Eukaryota, Metazoa, Chordata, Lepidosauria, Squamata, Lacertidae.